RNAcentral lists this ribosomal RNA (434 nucleotides) under uncultured bacterium. RNAcentral describes it as "partial 16S ribosomal RNA". It matches the Rfam family "Bacterial small subunit ribosomal RNA", at positions 29 to 507 of the family's 1533-position model. The record is from RNAcentral.
AGCGAACGCUGGCGGCAUGCCUAACACAUGCAAGUCGAACGAACCUUUCGGGGUUAGUGUCCGACGGGUUUGUAACCCGUGGGGACAUGCCCUUAUGUUCGGCAUAACUCUGGGAAACUUGUACUAAUAGGGAAUGUGCCCUUCUGCGGGAAGAUUAAUCGCCUUUAGAGCGGCACGCGUCUGAUUAGCUAGUUGGUUGAGGUAAUGGCUCACCAAGGCGACGAUCAGUAGCUGGUAUGAUAGGAUGAUCAGCCACAUUGGAACGGAGACACGGCCCGAACUCCUACGGGAGGGAGCAGUGGGGAAUCGUGCGAAAUGGGCGAAAGCCUGAAGGAGCCAUGCCGCGUGAAUGAUGAAGGUCUUAGGAUAGUAAAAUUCUUUCAACGGGGACGAUAAUGACGGUACCCGAAGAAGAAGCCCCGGCUAACUUCGUG